This is a long non-coding RNA of Arachis stenosperma, 501 nucleotides long. RefSeq lists it as uncharacterized. The transcript has 2 exons. NCBI's taxonomy places the organism in Eukaryota, Viridiplantae, Streptophyta, Magnoliopsida, Fabales, Fabaceae. The record is from RefSeq and is a predicted model, not a curated record.
AUGCAUAUUAUUAUAUUCAAUUCAGUUCUUAUUUUUGUGCUUCAUUUUCAAGUGUAAUCUUCUAUAGUUUAUUAGUGUAUGUGGUCAUAGUGUUUUCACCAAAAUGCUCAAACAAAAGUGGUUUGUUCUCGUCUUUGCUUGUCUCCUAAUAAUUUCUCCCAAACCCUAUGCCGUGGAAGCCAGGCAGCUUCUAACCAUACACAAAAAAGGGUACUACUCAAAGGGUGAAGGUUAUUAUGUGAGUUUGGGGGUUGUGUGCAAGUGCUGUGAUGGUAAAGAUGGAAAAUGCAGAAACUCUACUACUUUGGAUGACGCUUGCUCCAACCUUGUGUGCAAACCAUGGAAAUACUAGCUACCUAAGUUAUUAUUAUUAGGAAUAUUAUAUUUUAUAUAUAAAGACACAAUAAAUAGAUCAUGUGAUAGCAACAUCUAUUAUUUAACGAAAGUUGGAUAUUUUUCUUAAAAGAUAAUGAAUGAAUAAAUAAAAUAAGUUCUACAGAA